RNAcentral lists this unclassified non-coding RNA (880 nucleotides) under Hevea brasiliensis (rubber tree). The record is from RNAcentral. Lineage: Eukaryota; Viridiplantae; Streptophyta; Magnoliopsida; Malpighiales; Euphorbiaceae.
UCGCGAAUACUGCUAGUGGAUCGAUAGCUUGUGUUGCCGUUACUCGCAGAUGAAUCAGCUCGUUGGAUUUGAUCUUGGAUAUCCUCAUCACCCACAUGAUCGUCUUCUUCAUACUCAUCUGCGGCGGAGGAGUGGACUGAAGAGCUGGGAUCAGCGGCGGCGAGGGAGUUCAACUCGACGGGAGUGGUGUGGUUGAGAAGUAUGUUGCGGAACUCGUCUUCAAGCCUGGCCAUAGCGAUCUGGAUGGUGGCGCUAUUGACCUUGUCUUGAUCAUCGGAGAUGGAGGUGGACGACAUGGAUUUUUGAAUAUCGUCGACAGCCUUUAAAUAAAGAUCCACCUCCUCACGGUCACCUUCGAAGAUCAUCCUCUCCCUGGCUUCCUCUGAGGCCGUGGAGUCCCACCGGAGAAUUAUCUUCUGCGCAUCUUCAAACGCCACCGCACCACCACUAGCGUCACUAUUCUCUGGUGGUUCCAUAUGAUUGGACACAACUGGCUCUUAGAAGCUAAAAGAUUGAAACUUUUUGUGGAAUCUUUCAAGAAAAAUGAAGACUUUCUAUUUUCCAAAUCUCGAAAAUAUUAACAGCAGAUUCGUUUGAGUGUUGGCGAUGAAUUUUGUAAUGGAAAAGUAAAGUUUUUUUUUUUCUUUAAUAUAGGAAAAGUUAAAAUGUUAACAAAAAAAGGGUUGAUUGUACGGGUGGUGGUGGUGGUGGUGGUGGUGGCGGUUUUUUAUGGCGGUGGUGGUGGCUGUGGAGAAGAGAUAGUAGAAGGUAUUAAGACACAGUAGAAGUUUGAUUGGGGAUGAGAGGGUGAGGUUGUGCGCAGCCUUGGAGCACUAGUAUUUAAUUUUCACAGUAAGCAUGGUGGUGUCUUGGAAUUCAG